RNAcentral lists this ribosomal RNA (292 nucleotides) under uncultured bacterium. RNAcentral's name for it is "partial 16S ribosomal RNA". It matches the Rfam family "Bacterial small subunit ribosomal RNA", at positions 505 to 796 of the family's 1533-position model. The record is from RNAcentral.
GUGCCAGCAGCCGCGGUAAUACGGAGGGUGCAAACGUUGCUCGGAAUCAUUGGGCGUAAAGCGCACGUAGGCGGUCCGACAAGUCGGAUGUGAAAGCCCUCGGCUCAACUGAGGAAGUGCAUUCGAAACUGUCGAACUUGAGUAUGGAAGAGGGUCUCGGAAUUCCCGGUGUAGAGGUGAAAUUCGUAGAUAUCGGGAGGAACACCAGUGGCGAAGGCGGAGACCUGGGCCAAUACUGACGCUGAGGUGCGAAAGCGUGGGGAGCAAACAGGAUUAGAAACCCGGGUAGUCC